ACCAGCAGGCUGACUAGUACUGCGGUGAGUGAUCACGUGGGAACCCCAGGUGUUGUAU
This 58-nucleotide ribosomal RNA is filed under the name Diplonema papillatum. Lineage: Eukaryota; Euglenozoa; Diplonemea; Diplonemida; Diplonemidae. The record is from RNAcentral.